GCCAGGGAGGGGCACUGGGACAGAGCGGGGUGUGGCCUGGGUGGGGAGGAGCGGCGCGGGUGUGUCUGGGAGAGAGGAGGCUGGGCCCCAGUGAGGCUCGGGGAGGGAAGGGGCACGUGAGCCCGCCCCGCGCCUUCCCCCUCUGAGGCCUCUGCAGAUCGGGACCCGGGCAGCUCUCCUCCGACCCCACCCCUCACCUUCCCGGUAACCAGGUCUCCGCCCACAUUCUCUGACCACAGCCCUUCCCAGUAGCAUUUCAAGGUGCCUAAGUCCCCCUCCAGUCUCGGAGAAAGUAAGUCAGCGUCGGCAGAGAAGAGCCUGGGUGUCCAAGCCAGGUGCAGAGCUCCAGGUGUGCGUCUGGACACGACAUGCCACGACGGUCUUAACUCUGUGGUUCCCAAGGAAGACAGGAGCCAGGUCCACUUUGCAGCCUAGACCUGAUGUUGGACGUGCAUGGUCCCGCUUGGCUCUGAGCAUGUCAAAACACUGCUCCUUUUAAAUUCCACCCCAACCCCACCUUCCACACAAUCCGAGGAAGUGCCCUCUUUCCCUAUCAGGGGUUGCUGCCUUUCCAAGCUCUUCCUGCCCACCCGUCCCUACCCUCCCUGCCAAGCAGAUGCUUUCUGGCCAUUUUUUCCACCUGGAACAGGGAGAAGCGCGCCCCCUCCUGGCCUCCCAGCUGAGGGCCGCACCUGGCUGCUGCCAUCUCCAAGGCCCUGGCCCCGCAGGAGGAGCCUGUGAGCGCCCAGGCUGCUGCGCCAGGAGAAGCCGUUCUAAGAGAGCCAAGUGCCCCAGAGCCUAGCCAAGCCCACCCUCCUGUGGGUCAAUGACAGUGCCUAACCCAGCUCUCAGCUCAUUCGGGUUCGGUUCCUGUCGCCUGCAGCCAGGAGCCAAGGGACCAGAUCCAGCCCCCUGUACUUCUCGGGCACACGUAUGUGCUGGCUCCCGGUCAGAAAAGCUUUUCAUGGGAUCAGUGCUGUUUUAAUCCCGAUAGCCAGGGCACCCCAUCUGCCCCCCAUGCCUGCUCCCGGGAGGGCCGCUGCCGCCCCCUGCCUCAAAACGGCUCAGUAACCUCCGAGGCCAGGGCUGCUCUUUAUCAUCGUGAGCCUGCAAUUCUAAGCGACACCAAGGAUGUAAUGCCCCCUGAAAAAGCAGUCUAUCAGCCUAGGCAUUAAACCUAGGGGUUGCAGAUUUUUCUGGGGAAGGCCAGAUCGUAAAUAUUUCAUAUUUUUCUCUCCAUAAGGUCUCUGUUACAGCUACUCAACUCUGCUGUCCUAGAACAAAAGCAGCACAGACAAUAUAUAAACAGUUGAACCUGGUUGCCUUCCCCAAUGACUUUAUUGAUGGACACUCUUUUGAAUUUCACAUAAUUUUCACGUCAGGAAAUACUCUUCUUGUGAUUUUUACCCUCCAACCAUUAAAAAUGUGAAAAAUUA
Long non-coding RNA from Manis javanica (Malayan pangolin), 1436 nucleotides. RefSeq lists it as uncharacterized. The record is from RefSeq and is a predicted model, not a curated record. Lineage: Eukaryota; Metazoa; Chordata; Mammalia; Pholidota; Manidae.